Molecule: ribosomal RNA, 468 nt
Filed under: uncultured bacterium
Lineage: Bacteria
Description: partial 16S ribosomal RNA
Rfam family: Bacterial small subunit ribosomal RNA
Source: RNAcentral
GACGAACGCUGGCGGCGUGCUUAACACAUGCAAGUCGAACGGAAAGGCCCUGCUUUUGUGGGGUGCUCGAGUGGCGAACGGGUGAGUAACACGUGAGUAACCUGCCCUUGACUUUGGGAUAACUUCAGGAAACUGGGGCUAAUACCGGAUAGGAGCUCCUGCUGCAUGGUGGGGGUUGGAAAGUUUCGGCGGUCGGGGAUGGACUCGCGGCUUAUCAGCUUGUUGGUGGGGUAGUGGCUUACCAAGGCUUUGACGGGUAGCCGGCCUGAGAGGGUGACCGGCCACAUUGGGACUGAGAUACGGCCCAGACUCCUACGGGAGGCAGCAGUGGGGAAUAUGGCACAAUGGGCGGAAGCCUGAUGCAGCAACGCCGCGUGCGGGAUGACGGCCUUCGGGUUGUAAACCGCUUUCGCCUGUGACGAAGCGUGAGUGACGGUAAUGGGUAAAGAAGCACCGGCUAACUACGUG